Marmota marmota marmota (Alpine marmot) is the source of this 107-nucleotide small nuclear RNA. The record is from Ensembl. NCBI's taxonomy places the organism in Eukaryota, Metazoa, Chordata, Mammalia, Rodentia, Sciuridae.
GUGCUUGCUUCAGCAGCACAUGUACUAAAACUGGAACAAUAAAGAGAAAAUUAGCAUGGCCCCUGCGCAAGGAUGUCAUGCAAAUUUGUGAAACAUUGCAUAUUAAA